GGCUUNAUAGUGGAAAUAUAAGACGUUAGACUGCAAAUCUAAAAAUGUGAUUGAAUCGCUAAAGC
RNAcentral lists this transfer RNA (65 nucleotides) under Pagurus hirsutiusculus (hairy hermit crab). RNAcentral's name for it is "tRNA-Cys". The record is from RNAcentral. Lineage: Eukaryota; Metazoa; Arthropoda; Malacostraca; Decapoda; Paguridae.